Small nucleolar RNA from Bombina bombina (fire-bellied toad), 89 nucleotides. Lineage: Eukaryota; Metazoa; Chordata; Amphibia; Anura; Bombinatoridae. The record is from RefSeq and is a predicted model, not a curated record.
CUCUUCCUAUGAUGUCAGCACUGGGCUCUGAAAUCUGAGUGAGAAUUGUGCCCCGCUGUGACUUGACAUACAGUGGGACUGAGGGGGGC